Molecule: ribosomal RNA, 482 nt
Filed under: uncultured bacterium
Lineage: Bacteria
Description: bacterial SSU rRNA
Rfam family: Bacterial small subunit ribosomal RNA
Source: RNAcentral
AGGACGAACGCUGGCGGCGUGCUUAACACAUGCAAGUCGAACGGAAAGGCCCUGCUUUGUGGGGGUGCUCGAGUGGCGAACGGGUGAGUAACACGUGAGUAACCUGCCCUUGACUUUGGGAUAACUUCAGGAAACUGGGGCUAAUACCGGAUAGGAGCUCCUGCUGCAUGGUGGGGGUUGGAAAGUUUCGGCGGUUGGGGAUGGACUCGCGGCUUAUCAGCUUGUUGGUGGGGUAGUGGCUUACCAAGGCUUUGACGGGUAGCCGGCCUGAGAGGGUGACCGGCCACAUUGGGACUGAGAUACGGCCCAGACUCCUACGGGAGGCAGCAGUGGGGAAUAUUGCACAAUGGGCGGAAGCCUGAUGCAAGCAACGCCGCGUGCGGGAUGACGGCCUUCGGGUUGUAAACCGCUUUCGCCUGUGACGAAGCGUGAGUGACGGUAAUGGGUAAAGAAGCACCGGCUAACUACGUGCCAGCCGCAGC